This 194-nucleotide unclassified non-coding RNA is filed under the name uncultured Agaricales. RNAcentral describes it as "sequence contains ITS2". The record is from RNAcentral. RNAcentral also lists the same sequence under 1 other name. Lineage: Eukaryota; Fungi; Basidiomycota; Agaricomycetes; Agaricales.
AAUUCUCAACUACACCAGUUAAAAUGGGUGUAGCUUGGAUUUGGGGGUUUUUGCAGGCUCUUUCUUUUUGCUUAGCCUUGCUUCCCUGAAAAGCAUUAGUGGUAUCUGAGCAUCCACAGAUGUUGAUAAAUCAUUUCUACAUCUUGGUGGGCUGCACAUGCUGCUUCCAACUUGGCCAUUGGGUUGAAUGAACA